This is an unclassified non-coding RNA of Ursus americanus (American black bear), 163 nucleotides long. Lineage: Eukaryota; Metazoa; Chordata; Mammalia; Carnivora; Ursidae. The record is from Ensembl.
CUGACCACACUCCACCAAGCCUUGUUCCACGGUACCUGGGUGUCCAUGGUGCGGGCCAGUCAUCAUGACGGUUCUUGGUAAGUGGGGGGCUGAACCCACAGGUUCUCUCCUUUGAGGGGCCAGUGGGCGACCCUCUUGGUGUUUGCAUUUGAGAGUUGAAGAG